Molecule: transfer RNA, 68 nt
Filed under: Marmota monax (woodchuck)
Lineage: Eukaryota; Metazoa; Chordata; Mammalia; Rodentia; Sciuridae
Description: tRNA.Ala
Source: RNAcentral
GUUGUAGCUCAGUGGAAGAAUGUUUGCCUAGCAUGUGCAAGGGUCUAAGUUCAAUACCUAGCAUUACA